CCAAAAACACUACCUCCAAGAAGAAAGCAGGACCACUUCAUUCCUCUCAAUCCUGAAGCAGCCCCAGUCAGUAUUCGACCUUACAGGUACAACUAUUUCCAAAAAUAUGAAAUAGAGAAAUAAGUUAAUGAAAUGCUCUCUAGUGGUACUAUACAGCCUAGUUAUUCUCCCUUCUCUUCCCCGAUUCUUUUAGUUAAAAAGAAAGAUGGAAGUUGGAGAUUUUGUAUUGAUUAUAGGGAGUUAAAUAAGAUGACUAUUAAGGAUAAGUUUCCUAUUCUUUUGGUAGAUGAUUUGAUGGAUGAAUUACAUUGUUCCUACAUCUACUCAAAAAUUGAUCUCAGGGAUGGUUAUCAUCAGAUAAGGAUGGGAGAAACAGACAUCUAUAAGAUUGCUUUUAGAACUCAUUCGGACCAUUAUGAGUUCAAGGUCAUGCCCUUUGGCUUGACUAAUGCACCUGCCAACUUUCAAAGUCUUAUGAAUCACAUUUUUAAACCUUCUUUGAGGAAAUUUGUGUUGGUAUUUUUUGAUGAUAUCCUAGUUUACAGUUCUUCAGUAGAAGUGCAUGUAUUGCAUCUUAGAAAAGUGCUAGAGGUACUAUACAAAGAGCAACUAUAUGCUAAAUUGUCCUAAGUGUUCAUUUGGACAAGAUAAAGUUGAGUACCUAGGCCACAUUAUUUCAGUAAAGGGAGUUUCUACUGACCCUUCAAAGAUUGAAGCAAUGAUCAAUUGGCCUAUUCCUAAGUCUGUGAAAGCCUUAAGGGGAUUUCUUGGGUUAACUGGCUAUUAUUGAAGAUUUGUUAAGUCCUAUGGGGUUAUCAGAAGACCUCUGACAAAUCUUCUCAAGAAGAAUUCUUUUCAAUGGAGUACAGAAGCAGAAAAGGCUUUCCAACAAUUGAAAGAAGCUAUGUCAACUGUACCAGUAUUGGCUCUUGCUGAUUUCAGCAAACCCUUCAUUAUUGAAACUGAUGCAUGUGCAACAGGUAUGGGAGUUGUACUCAUGCAAGGGGGCAGACCUAUAGCCUAUUUCAAUAAGGCAAUAGCUUUGAAACACAGGGGACUUUCUACUUAUGAAAAGGAGUAUUUAGCUGUACUUUCAGCCAUACACAAAUGGAGGCAUUACUUACAAGGGGGACACUUCAUUGUCAAAACAGAUCAUCAAAGUCUUAAGUAUCUGUUAGAAAAAAAAAGUGACCACAACCUUGCAAUAGAAAGGACUCACUAAAUUACUAGGGUUGGAUUGCGAGGUCCAAUACAAGAAAGGUGUGGAGAACAAGAUUGCAAAUGCUCUUUCAAGAAGACAGGAAGAAGACUCUACUCUCCUAGAUAUAUCUACAGCUCAGGCCACUUGGUUACAUGAGGUUUCUCAGAGUUAUAAGAAUGAUCCAAUUUUAAGUGAGUUAGUGGUCAGUCCUAACAGUAAAGCUGACUAUUCACUAUACCAAUGGAUCAUCAGAUUCAAGCAAAAGAUCUGUGUGAGGAAGAAUAAAGAGUUGAAACAACAGAUGUUGGAAACCUUGCAUCAAUCAUCCUUAGGAGGACACUCAGGUCACUAAGGACCUUACAUGACGGUGCAAUCAAUGUUCUAUUGGCCAAACAUGAAAUCAAAAAUCUUUAAGUGGGUUAGUGAGUGUGAUGUCUGUCAAAGGACUAAGACUGAGCACAACCAUUACCCUGGGUUCUCCAACCCUUACCUAUUCCGGAACAGGCUUGGUAGGAUAUAUCUCUUGACUUUAUCGAAGGAUUACCUAAUUUUGGGCAGAGAAAUGUUGUGUUGGUGGUCAUAGAUAGACUAACGAAGUAUGGGCAUUUCCUAGCUAUUAAACACCCAUAUUCAGCACAGGACGUGGUAGAAUUGUUUAUGAGAGAGAUACAGAUUACAUGGGCUUCCCAAGACUAUUGUCUCUGAUAGGGACGCCAUUUUUACUAGCCAUUUCUGGAAGUAUCUCUUCAAGGCUUUAGGCACUAAACUCAACAUGAGUUCUGCCUAUCACCCAUAGUCCGAUGGUCAGACUGAGCGACUCAACAGGUGUUUAAAGACUUAUUUGCGAGCUAUGGUAUUUGGAAAUCCAAAGCAGUGGCUAAAUGGCUACAUCUUGCAGAGUGGUGGUACAAUACUAAUUACCACACUUCUCUUAAGACGACACUAUUUGAGGCAUUAUAUGGACACCCUCCGACUCAAUUACCAUUGGGUUCACUGCCUCAUAGUGGUCAUAACCCAGCAGGAGUCAACUUAGCACAGAGGCAGCACAUGCUUCAGAUUCUCAAAGAUAACCUCACUCAAGCUCAGUCUAGAAUGAAAUUCUAUGCAGACAAACUAAGGUCAAAAAGGACUUUGACAGUAGGGGAUCUAGUCUACCUAAAGCUUCAACCUUACAGACAAUCUUUAGUCGAUGUUCGCAAAAAUGUGAAUUUAAGUGCUCGUUAUUAUGGUCCCACAAGAUUCUACAGAAGAUUGGUACAGUGGCUUACCGGCUUGAACUUCCAAGCGGAUCUCAGCUUCAUCCCGUCUUCCAUGUGUCUCAAUUGAAGAAGCGGAUCGGACCAGCAGUGACAUCUCAGUCACAGCCUCCCACUUGUGAUGAGAAGGUCGAGUCUUGAUCCAACCAAUUGCCAUUUUAGGAAAAAGAAUGGUUAAGAUCGAUAAUGGGGUUCAAGUAAGGGUGUUGAUUCAAUGGGCUAACUUGGGCAGAGAAGAAGCAUCCUGGGAAGAUUGAGGUUACAUCAAGAAUCGGUUCCCAGAUUUUGUGGCACAACAAAAACCUUGAGGACAAGGUCUAUUUUGAAGGGGUGGAGAAUGUUA
RNAcentral lists this long non-coding RNA (2800 nucleotides) under Nicotiana tabacum (common tobacco). RNAcentral describes it as "long non-coding RNA (NTAB_LNC013366)". Lineage: Eukaryota; Viridiplantae; Streptophyta; Magnoliopsida; Solanales; Solanaceae. The record is from RNAcentral.